RNAcentral lists this ribosomal RNA (490 nucleotides) under uncultured bacterium. RNAcentral describes it as "bacterial SSU rRNA". It matches the Rfam family "Bacterial small subunit ribosomal RNA", at positions 9 to 495 of the family's 1533-position model. The record is from RNAcentral.
GAGUUUGAACCUGGCUCAGGACGAACGCUGGCGGCGUGCCUAACACAUGCAAGUCGAACGGAGAUAUAUGCUGAAGAAUAGCUUGCUAUGAUUCUUAUAUAUCUUAGUGGCGGACGGGUGAGUAACGCGUGAGCAACCUACCUUUCAGAGGGGGAUAACGUUUGGAAACGAACGCUAAUACCGCAUGAUAUUAUUAAGCUGCAUGGCUUGAUAAUCAAAGGAGCAAUCCGCUGAAAGAUGGGCUCGCGUCCGAUUAGGUAGUUGGUGAGAUAACGGCCCACCAAGCCGACGAUCGGUAGCCGGACUGAGAGGUUGAACGGCCACAUUGGGACUGAGACACGGCCCAGACUCCUACGGGAGGCAGCAGUGAGGGAUAUUGGUCAAUGGGGGAAACCCUGAACCAGCAACGCCGCGUGAGGGAAGACGGUUUUCGGAUUGUAAACCUCUGUCCUCUGUGAAGAUAAUGACGGUAGCAGAGGAGGAAGCUCCG